RNAcentral lists this unclassified non-coding RNA (433 nucleotides) under soil metagenome. RNAcentral describes it as "partial contains 5.8S ribosomal RNA, internal transcribed spacer 2, and large subunit ribosomal RNA". The stretch from base 1 to 120 matches the Rfam family "5.8S ribosomal RNA", at positions 35 to 154 of the family's 154-position model. The record is from RNAcentral.
GAUGAAGAACGCAGCGAAAUGCGAUACGUAAUGUGAAUUGCAGAAUUCAGUGAAUCAUCGAAUCUUUGAACGCAUAUUGCGCUCUCUGGUAUUCCGGAGAGCAUGCUUGUUUGAGUAUCAGUAAACACCUCAACUCCCCUUUCUUUUUUUGAAAUGGGAGCUGGACUUGAGUGAUCCCAACGCUUUUCUCACCGAAAAGUGGCGGGUUACUUGAAAUGCAGGUGCAGCUGGACUUUUCUCUGAGCUAAAAGCAUAUCUAUUUAGUCUGCCUAAAAAACAGAUUAUUACCUUUGCUGCAGCUAACAUAAAGGAGAUUAGUUCUUGUGCUGACUGAUGCAGGAUUCACAGAGACAGCUUCGGCUGGACUUUGUAAACUCGAUCUCAAAUCAAGUAAGACUACCCGCUGAACUUAAGCAUAUCAAUAAGCGGAUGA